GGGUGCGUAGUUCAUUGGUAGAACGCCUUCCUGAUAAGAAGGAGGUACAUAGUCCGAUUCUAUGCGCACCCA
Non-coding RNA from Candidatus Gottesmanbacteria bacterium, 72 nucleotides. The record is from Rfam. Lineage: Bacteria; Candidatus Gottesmaniibacteriota.